GACGAACGCUGGCGGCGUGCUUAACACAUGCAAGUCGAACGGAAAGGCCCUGCUUUUGUGGGGUGCUCGAGUGGCGAACGGGUGAGUAACACGUGAGUAACCUGCCCUUGACUUUGGGAUAACUUCAGGAAACUGGGGCUAAUACCGGAUAGGAGCUCCUGCUGCAUGGUGGGGGUUGGAAAGUUUCGGCGGUUGGGGAUGGACUCGCGGCUUAUCAGCUUGUUGGUGGGGUAGUGGCUUACCAAGGCUUUGACGGGUAGCCGGCCUGAGAGGGUGACCGGCCACAUUGGGACUGAGAGACGGCCCAGACUCCUACGGGAGGCAGCAGUGGGGAAUAUUGCACAAUGGGAGGAAGCCUGAUGCAGAAACGCCGCGUGCGGGAUGACGGCCUUCGGGUUGUAAAACGCUUUCGCCUGUGACGAAGCGUGAGUGACGGUAAUGGGUAAAGAAGCACCGGCUAACUACGUG
This 468-nucleotide ribosomal RNA is filed under the name uncultured bacterium. RNAcentral's name for it is "partial 16S ribosomal RNA". It matches the Rfam family "Bacterial small subunit ribosomal RNA", at positions 28 to 507 of the family's 1533-position model. The record is from RNAcentral.